AACUGAAGUUUGCAGGAAAUAAGUAACUUGGCCAAGACAAUUCAACAAAAGUGGUGGUGACCUAAGAUUCCAAUUCAGACCAUUUCACUCCAGACCCUUAUCAAUAUGCAGUGACCACAAAUCCAACCAACUACCCAGCAAUAAUACAGACCACUCCUGAAUGUGUUUACUUUUAGCCUGAGGUGACAGCUUACAGAAAAUAACCUUUUUUAUAAAAGGAGAAAACAAGACAUGGAAACUCAGAUGGGCAAUCCCACGCGAGGGGUCCAGAGCAAUGAGUUGUGGGGCUGUGUGAUCCAUGGUAGGAAAGAGGAAGCAUGCAAGUUCGCGGCUCAGCACAGAUGAUGGACAUUGUCUGUAUCACGGAGGGCAGAGAGAAGCAUCGUGCUCAAAACUUCACACUUUUCCUUUCCUGCUUCCAAGACGUUGUGGACAUAAAUGAUUUGGAUCAAAGCAAUCUGCCAUCUCUGAAUUAACCAACCUUCCUAGGCUGUGGAAGCGAGUAUCAGACUUGGAUUUAUGAGCUGCUUUUGGACGCUUAUCACUGGGAUCUUUCUUUGGCUAACAGAUGAGGAAUAAGGCGUUCGGUCUUCUGAUCUGCAACCGAGAAAUGACUUCAAAAACUCAUGCCCUACAAUAGGAAAAUCCAAAGCUUUUGACCACAACUGUUUCUUUGGUCAUGUUGCCUAUAUUUUGAUGAACAAUGAAAUGAUCAGGCAACUGUUUAAGAGGAUCAAUGAACAAUAAGUGGCCUAAAAUAACUGACUCAUGGAAGCAGCAAAGCUUUUUGUAGGCAUCUUACGGAUCUUAAAUAUGGAG
Suricata suricatta (meerkat) is the source of this 819-nucleotide long non-coding RNA. RefSeq lists it as uncharacterized. NCBI's taxonomy places the organism in Eukaryota, Metazoa, Chordata, Mammalia, Carnivora, Herpestidae. The transcript has 3 exons. The record is from RefSeq and is a predicted model, not a curated record.